GGAGAUCAUUAAUACAAAAGUAUUAUAUAAACCAAACCUGAUGUUGCCAGCUCCUUCAAUGAAUGCAGCAGUGUGACAGCCAACAAUCAAAAGUAACAAGAUAUCGAGGAAAUGCAGAAGGCAAAAAACUGCGUAGGAGAUCAUUAAUACAAUAGUAUUAUAUAAACCAAGCCUGAUGUUGGCCGCUCAUUCAAAGAAUGCAGCAGUGUGACAGCCAGCAAUCAAAAGUAACAAGAUGUCGAGGAAAUGCAGAGUGUAAUAAACUGUGUAGGAGAUUAUGAUUGCAAUAGAAUAAAAUCGACCAAGCCUGAAGUCCUUCAAUGCACGCAGCAGUGUGACAGCCAGCAAUCAAAAGUUACAAGAUAUCGAGGAAAUGCAGAAGGCAAAAAACUGCGUAGGAGAUCAUUAAUACAAAAGUAUUAUAUAAACCAAACCUGAUGUUGCCAGCUCCUUCAAUGAAUGCAGCAGUGUGACAGCCAGCAAUCAAAAGUAACAAGAUAUCGAGGAAAUGCAGAAGGCAAAAAACUGCAUAGGAGAUCAUUAAUACAAUAGUAUUAUAUAAACCAAGUCUGAUGUUGGCCGCUCAUUCAAAGAAUGCAGCAGUGUGACAGCCAGCAAUCAAAAGUAACAAGAUGUCGAGGAAAUGCAGAGUGUAAUAAACUGUGUAGGAGAUUAUGAUUGCAAUAGAAUAAAAUCGACCAAGCCUGAAGUUUUUCAAUGCACGCAGCAGUGUGACAGCCAGCAAUCAAAAGUUACAAGAUAUCGAGGAAAUGCAGAAGGCAAAGAACUGCGUAGGAGAUUAUUAAUACAAUAGUAUUAUAUCAACCAAGCCUGAUGUCGGUAGCUUCUUCAAUGAAUGCAGCAGUGUGACAGCCAGCAAUCAAUAGUGACAAGAAUUUAGGAAAUACAGAAGGCAAAGAAGCAGAUAUCAUCAAAGAAGAUCUUUGUUCCUGCAAUGUUUCCGCAGACGAUACAUCCAACAGAGCGAAG
This 990-nucleotide long non-coding RNA is filed under the name Pectinophora gossypiella (pink bollworm). RNAcentral's name for it is "uncharacterized LOC126380753". Lineage: Eukaryota; Metazoa; Arthropoda; Insecta; Lepidoptera; Gelechiidae. The record is from RNAcentral.